RNAcentral lists this ribosomal RNA (465 nucleotides) under Vreelandella stevensii. RNAcentral describes it as "partial 16S ribosomal RNA". It matches the Rfam family "Bacterial small subunit ribosomal RNA", at positions 338 to 795 of the family's 1533-position model. Lineage: Bacteria; Pseudomonadati; Pseudomonadota; Gammaproteobacteria; Oceanospirillales; Halomonadaceae. The record is from RNAcentral.
CCUACGGGGGGCUGCAGUGGGGAAUAUUGGACAAUGGGGGCAACCCUGAUCCAGCCAUGCCGCGUGUGUGAAGAAGGCCCUCGGGUUGUAAAGCACUUUCAGUGAGGAAGAACGCCUGGUGGUUAAUACCCAUCAGGAAAGACAUCACUCACAGAAGAAGCACCGGCUAACUCCGUGCCAGCAGCCGCGGUAAUACGGAGGGUGCGAGCGUGAAUCGGAAUUACUGGGCGUAAAGCGCGCGUAGGUGGCUUGAUAAGCCGGUUGUGAAAGCCCCGGGCUCAACCUGGGAACGGCAUCCGGAACUGUCGAGCUAGAGUGCAGGAGAGGAAGGUAGAAUUCCCUGUGUAGCGGUGAAAUGCGUAGAGAUCGGGAGGAAUACCAGUGGCGAAGGCGGCCUUCUGGACUGACACUGACACUGAGGUGCGAAAGCGUGGGUAGCAAACAGGAUUAGAUACCCCAGUAGUC